This 433-nucleotide ribosomal RNA is filed under the name uncultured bacterium. Its description in RNAcentral is "partial 16S ribosomal RNA". It matches the Rfam family "Bacterial small subunit ribosomal RNA", at positions 29 to 507 of the family's 1533-position model. The record is from RNAcentral.
AACGAACGCUGGCGGCAUGCCUAACACAUGCAAGUCGAACGAACCCUUCGGGGUUAGUGGCGCACGGGUGCGUAACGCGUGGGAAUCUGCCCUUUGCUUCGGAAUAACUCAGGGAAACUUGUGCUAAUACCGGAUGAUGUCUUCGGACCAAAGAUUUAUCGGCAAGGGAUGAGCCCGCGUAGGAUUAGGUAGUUGGUGGGGUAAAGGCCUACCAAGCCGACGAUCCUUAGCUGGUCUGAGAGGAUGAUCAGCCACACUGGGACUGAGACACGGCCCAGACUCCUACGGGAGGCAGCAGUGGGGAAUAUUGGAAAAUGGGCGCAAGCAUGAUCCAGCAAUGCCGCGUGAGUGAUGAAGGCCCUCGAGUCGUAAAGCUCUUUUACCAGGGAUGAUAAUGACAGUACCUGGAGAAUAAGCUCCGGCUAACUCCGUG